Non-coding RNA from Lamprotornis superbus, 74 nucleotides. NCBI's taxonomy places the organism in Eukaryota, Metazoa, Chordata, Aves, Passeriformes, Sturnidae. The record is from the annotation of a GenBank genome assembly.
GAUGUAUUGGCUUAGCUGGUCAGAGCAUGCUGCUGGUAACACCCAGGUCAUGGGCUUGAUCCCAGUAUGGAUCA